UGGCCUUAACCUCCUCCAGGGAGGGCACCGCGCUUCCUCUCAGCCGACUGCAGCCUCAUUUCCUGAGCUGGAGGAGGGAGCGGAAAGGCUGCCAGCAGGCCAGGCCGGGGGCUUUCCGGCGGUUCCCACCCCCACCCCCACCCCUGCACAGUAAGUCGGCCCUGCCCCUCCCAGGCCAGAGCAGCACCCACCUACUCUCCCCCCCUUGGGCCGGAAACCUCUAACGAGAGCGAAUUCCCCCCCCCACCACCCCGCCCUUCACCGAGGAGUGGGGGAGGGAGAGGCCGCUGAGCCCCUCCCCUGGCCGCGCCAGCCUCCGAAGGACUGAAUGAAUGAGCGGGGAGACAGGAGGAGGAGGAAAACCACUUUCCAGGCCCCGCGAGGCUCAGUUCCUUCAAAGGUCAAGCCGGCUCACCCGAGCGCCCAGUUCCCCCUUCGUCCGCCUCAGGUCCAGCCGCGGCAGGUCCGCCGGGCCGCGCGGCGUCCGCCUUCCCCGCGCACCCGACGCCGCCCCGGCUUCCACCCACCGCACACAGGCUCCAAACUCGGGUGCCGGGACAGGCCAGGGCUUGCUGGGCCCCAGCCUCCGAAGAGCCCGGCUCUGCAGCCUCCGCUCCGCUCCGGGUGGGCCCAGGUAGGUUCUCUCCCACCCUAACCCACCGCCUGAAAGUCAAGGCAGGGAAUUCCGGGGGUGAGGGAAAAGGCCAGGAUGGCGGACUUCUCGUUUCCUUGGCAUCGGUACGGAUCUCGUCCUUCCCCCGUCACCUUGGAGGGUCACUGUGCACCAGCGAUUCACCGACCUGCCAGGCCUUCCGAACCUUGAGUAAUUUAGGUAUGGUAAUCAGUCGUCACAUUUCUCUGUGCAGGUGAGAAAGAUUUUAUCACGAAGGAGUCCUCUCUUACAGAUCACUGUUCCCAGACCCUUUGUGCAACAGCCACGUGAGUGCCUAGCAAACGUCCUGUGGAACCGAGCCUCUGUUCGGUGAUAACUAAACAGUUGCACUGCCACUUCUACCUUCAGGCGCCCUGAGUUAGAAACCGCCUCCCAGUCCCUGCCACGUGGGACUUCUGGAAGCACAAUAGUAAAGAGACUUGAAAAUUUUACCUCCUGUUCUCUCCUACUUGUUUGUACUGUACGCCUGCCUUCCCUGUAAGCCAUCAUAUCAAAUGUGUCCUCUGCUGCGACUCUCUUUUCCCCUCAAAAUUAUGGUGCGGAGCAGGACUCAGGAUUAAGACUCCUGAUCCCUGAAAUGACUGGUACGUAAGACAGGUGCUGCCCUCAACGCCUGGUUCUGAAGACACUCCCUCCAGAGGCUUCCUCUUCCUAUUUCCUUUUAGAAAUACUGAGCAAUGAGCUGUUUAGAGGAAACAAUUCAAACAGUAAGUAAUUUGCUUGGUAGAGUACGCUGUGUACUGUUUUUUCCCUCCUGGAACUGGGAAGGAAGAACAGGGAGUAAACUCUACCCUGAUGGCCUAAGAGUUUUUCCAGCUCUUCUCGGAGAAGUCUGGUCAGAGAGAAGAUGGAAACAGAAGCGAGACUUUGGCAUCUGGGUGAUGAUCAGCAGGGGGCGCUGUUUACCUCCCUUUGCCCUAGUGAAGCGGCCGGCGCCCUCAACGCAGACCAACCCAAGGCUGCUCAGAGCACCGCUGUAUUCCUGAGUCUGGUAGAUGUGAACAGAUAAUCUUCUCUUGAUCCAGGGAAACAGGUGGAUUGACUCCUGAUACCCUUUAAAGGCAUGAUGGACGGGCAGCAAAGGGCCCAGUGCUAAUGUUGUCCUGGUGACCAACAAUACAACAAUGUAUCAGCAGGUGUAAGUGUCCAUCCCCCACCCCUCUCACGUCUGGUCUUACUCUUUGUCCUAACCUUGCACUCCUCUUUCCCCUUGCUUUACCCUAAUGAGCUGCUGACUUCCCCUCGGGUUGAGAAGCCCUUACACACGUGAAUGUUCUUACUGCCAUUGAACUGUACCCUUAGAAGUGGUUAAAAUGGCAAACGUGA
Molecule: long non-coding RNA, 1999 nt
Organism: Leopardus geoffroyi (Geoffroy's cat)
Lineage: Eukaryota; Metazoa; Chordata; Mammalia; Carnivora; Felidae
Exons: 2
Source: RefSeq, a predicted model, not a curated record